Molecule: ribosomal RNA, 301 nt
Filed under: uncultured bacterium
Lineage: Bacteria
Description: partial 16S ribosomal RNA
Rfam family: Bacterial small subunit ribosomal RNA
Source: RNAcentral
CAGCCGCCACGGGAAUACGGAGGGUGCAAGCGUUAUCCGGAUUUAUUGGGUUUAAAGGGUCCGUAGGCGGAUCUGUAAGUCAGUGGUGAAAUCUCACAGCUUAACUGUGAAACUGCCAUUGAUACUGCAGGUCUUGAGUAAAUUUGAAGUGGCUGGAAUAAGUAGUGUAGCGGUGAAAUGCAUAGAUAUUACUUAGAACACCAAUUGCGAAGGCAGGUCACUAAGAUUUAACUGACGCUGAUGGACGAAAGCGUGGGGAGCGAACAGGAUUAGAUACCCGUGUAGUCCCUGUCUCUUAUAC